Micromonospora sp. ATCC 39149 is the source of this 143-nucleotide regulatory RNA element. It matches the Rfam family "c-di-AMP riboswitch aptamer (ydaO/yuaA leader)". Rfam says of the family: This family represents a conserved RNA structure found upstream of the ydaO and yuaA genes in Bacillus subtilis and related genes in other bacteria. The ydaO/yuaA element is thought to act as a genetic "off" switch for the ydaO and yuaA genes in its native state. NCBI's taxonomy places the organism in Bacteria, Bacillati, Actinomycetota, Actinomycetes, Micromonosporales, Micromonosporaceae. The record is from Rfam.
CGCGCCGACCCGCUCAAUCGUGAUCAUCACGAACCGGGGACCCAUUGCACGUCCGGGGUGAAUCCGCAGGCUGCGGCCCGUGGUAGGGCGAUCUUCCCGCCCGAAUCCGUCAGCUAACCCGGUAGGCGGUGUCGGAAGGAGUU